Molecule: ribosomal RNA, 975 nt
Filed under: uncultured Hypocreales
Lineage: Eukaryota; Fungi; Ascomycota; Sordariomycetes; Hypocreales
Description: eukaryotic LSU rRNA
Rfam family: Eukaryotic large subunit ribosomal RNA (bases 333-975)
Source: RNAcentral
AAAACUUUCAACAACGGAUCUCUUGGCUCUGGCAUCGAUGAAGAACGCAGCGAAAUGCGAUAAGUAAUGUGAAUUGCAGAAUUCAGUGAAUCAUCGAAUCUUUGAACGCACAUUGCGCCCGCCAGUAUUCUGGCGGGCAUGCCUGUUCGAGCGUCAUUACAACCCUCAGGCCCCCGGGCCUGGCGUUGGGGAUCGGCGGAAGCCCCCUGCGGGCACAACGCCGUCCCCCAAAUACAGUGGCGGUCCCGCCGCAGCUUCCAUUGCGUAGUAGCUAACACCUCGCAACUGGAGAGCGGCGCGGCCACGCCGUAAAACACCCAACUUCUGAAUGUUGACCUCGAAUCAGGUAGGAAUACCCGCUGAACUUAAGCAUAUCAAUAAGCGGAGGAAAAGAAACCAACAGGGAUUGCCCCAGUAACGGCGAGUGAAGCGGCAACAGCUCAAAUUUGAAAUCUGGCUCUCGGGCCCGAGUUGUAAUUUGUAGAGGAUGCUUUUGGUGAGGUGCCUUCCGAGUUCCCUGGAACGGGACGCCAUAGAGGGUGAGAGCCCCGUCUGGUUGGACACCGAUCCUCUGUAAAGCUCCUUCGACGAGUCGAGUAGUUUGGGAAUGCUGCUCUAAAUGGGAGGUAUAUGUCUUCUAAAGCUAAAUACCGGCCAGAGACCGAUAGCGCACAAGUAGAGUGAUCGAAAGAUGAAAAGAACUUUGAAAAGAGAGUUAAAAAGUACGUGAAAUUGUUGAAAGGGAAGCGCUUGUGACCAGACUUGGGCUUGGUUGAUCAUCCGGGGUUCUCCCCGGUGCACUCUUCCGGCUCAGGCCAGCAUCAGUUCGCCCUGGGGGAUAAAGGCUUCGGGAAUGUGGCUCUCUCCGGGGAGUGUUAUAGCCCGCUGCGUAAUACCCUGUGGCGGACUGAGGUUCGCGCAUUCGCAAGGAUGCUGGCGUAAUGGUCAUCAGUGACCCGUCUUGAAACACGGACC